RNAcentral lists this long non-coding RNA (1039 nucleotides) under Salvia miltiorrhiza (redroot sage). Its description in RNAcentral is "long non-coding RNA (SMIL_LNC007235)". The record is from RNAcentral. Lineage: Eukaryota; Viridiplantae; Streptophyta; Magnoliopsida; Lamiales; Lamiaceae.
GAGACGAAGUCGUUUUACCUUUGGGGAAGAUACACCUAAACCAAAGAGCACUACCGGGGCGAUAAUCUUCUUGCGGGAAGAGAUUCAUCUCGACUCGACUUAUUUUAUACGUAUAAUUUAUUUAUACAGUAUAUUUCAGUUGUAUAAAAUUAUUUGAGUUGUAAUUUCUCAAAUUAUUCUCUUUUGUAAUAUUUUCAAUUAUUUUGAGUUGUAAUAUCUCAAAAUAUUUAUUUUGUAAUAUCUCGAUCGUGUACCCGGUAGCAACAUUUUCCAGAUCUUCAACAUAAGUUUCCGAAUUUAUAUAAUUUAUGUUCAUUGGCCAUGGAUAUAAUCUGCCAAUUUUUCAAAUCUUUCACAUAAGCUUCCGAAUUAAUGUUCAUUGGCCAUGGAUAGCUUCAUAAUCGGCCAAUUUUUCAAAUCUUUCACAUAAGCGUCCGAAUUAAUUUUUCAGAUCUUUCACAUAAGCUUCCGAAUUAACUGAGUAUGAAGACGGCGAUGAGGUUGUCGUGUAUGUGUCAAAUGAAGAGAUUUGUCAUGCGAAGUUGAUGCAAGAGGUGCAUGAUCAAUUAAACGAAAAUGAACGAUCCACUUAUAUGCUUUUCUACAUAUCGACCACGGACGAAGGGCGAAAAAUAAAAGUGGCUUUGAAGGCCGAUUUAGAUUUGAACCGACUGAUUUUCGAGCAGAAGAAAUAUCUUGUUGUUUACGUGAUCGAGAAGGGCAAACAAUCUACGGCUCCGGUUCCUCAAAAUCAGGAGCGGGUAUAUUAUGAGGGACAACGUUCUACUGUGUUUCCUAUCGAGACAGACGUUGGGAGCUUUGACUGGAACGUACUUCAUUCACAACUUGCACUCUUCGUCCAAUUGAAGGCUGUUUAGUUUUGAAAAUAUUGUAUCAUUAAAGAUCUAUUAAUACAAAUAUUUUCAUGAAAAGUAAUGCAAAGUAAGAUAUACCAUAAGAUACACAUUUCCAGUAUCGGUGUGCAACAAACCAAGGCCUGAGCUCACUCUUGCUGGUCUUUCUUGGUUUGAAGUGCUUC